AUGAACGCUAGCGGCAGGCCUAACACAUGCAAGUCGAACGGUAACAGGGAUUGCUUGCAAUCUGCUGACGAGUGGCGCACGGGUGAGUAACGCGUAUGCAAUCUGCCUUUAACUGAGAGAUAGCCCAGAGAAAUUUGGAUUAAUACCUCAUAAUAUUGUGAUUUGGCAUCACUUCACAAUUAAAGCUUCGGCGGUUUAAAGAUGAGCAUGCGUCCUAUUAGCUUGUUGGUAAGGUAACGGCUUACCAAGGCAACGAUAGGUAGGGGCCUGAAAGGGUGAUCCCCCACACUGGUACUGAGACACGGACCAGACUCCUACGGGAGGCAGCAGUGAGGAAUAUUGCGCAAUGGAGGAAACUCUGACGCAGCCAUGCCGCGUGCAGGAAGACGGCCCUACGGGUUGUAAACUGCUUUUAUAUAGGAAGAAACACCGAUACGUGUAUCGGCUUGACGGUACUAUAUGAAUAAGGACCGGCUAACUCCGUG
Molecule: ribosomal RNA, 485 nt
Filed under: uncultured bacterium
Lineage: Bacteria
Description: bacterial SSU rRNA
Rfam family: Bacterial small subunit ribosomal RNA
Source: RNAcentral